This 253-nucleotide ribosomal RNA is filed under the name uncultured bacterium. Its description in RNAcentral is "partial 16S ribosomal RNA". It matches the Rfam family "Bacterial small subunit ribosomal RNA", at positions 524 to 776 of the family's 1533-position model. The record is from RNAcentral.
UACGUAGGGGGCAAGCGUUGUCCGGAAUCAUUGGGCGUAAAGCGCGCGUAGGCGGCCCUGUAAGUCCGUUGUGAAAGUCAAAGGCUCAACCUUUGAAAGCCGAUGGAUACUGCAGGGCUAGAGUCCGGUAGGGGACCACGGAAUUCCUGGUGUAGCGGUGAAAUGCGCAGAUAUCAGGAGGAACACCGGUGGCGAAGGCGGUGGUCUGGGCCGGAACUGACGCUGAGGAGCGAAAGCGUGGGGAGCGAACAGG